RNAcentral lists this ribosomal RNA (496 nucleotides) under uncultured bacterium. Its description in RNAcentral is "partial 16S ribosomal RNA". It matches the Rfam family "Bacterial small subunit ribosomal RNA", at positions 30 to 523 of the family's 1533-position model. The record is from RNAcentral.
AUUGAACGCUGGCGGAAUGCUUUACACAUGCAAGUCGAACGGUAGAGGGGGCAGCCCCUCGAGAGUGGCGAACGGGUGAGUAAUAUAUCGGAACGUGCCCAGUCGUGGGGGAUAACGUAGCGAAAGUUACGCUAAUACCGCAUACGAUCUAAGGAUGAAAGCGGGGGAUCGCAAGACCUCGCGCGAUUGGAGCGGCCGAUAUCAGAUUAGGUAGUUGGUGGGGUAAAGGCUCACCAAGCCAACGAUCUGUAGCUGGUCUGAGAGGACGACCAGCCACACCGGAACUGGGACACGGUCCAGACUCCUACGGGAGGCAGCAGUGGGGAAUUUUGGACAAUGGACGCAAGUCUGAUCCAGCCAUUCCGCGUGCAGGAUGAAGGCCCUCGGGUUGUAAACUGCUUUUGUACGGAACGAAAAGGUCUCUCUUAAUACGGGGGGCUCAUGACGGUACCGUAAGAAUAAGCACCGGCUAACUACGUGCCAGCCGCCGCGGUAA